UACAGAGGGUGCAAGCGUUGUUCGGAAUUAUUGGGCGUAAAGCGCGUGUAGGCGGCUUUGCAAGUCGGGUGUGAAAGCCCUCAGCUCAACUGAGGAAGUGCACCCGAAACUGCAGAGCUUGAGUGCCGGAGAGGGUGGCGGAAUUCCCCAAGUAGAGGUGAAAUUCGUAGAUAUGGGGAGGAACACCGGUGGCGAAGGCGGCCACCUGGACGGUAACUGACGCUGAGACGCGAAAGCGUGGGGAGCGAACAGG
RNAcentral lists this ribosomal RNA (253 nucleotides) under uncultured bacterium. RNAcentral's name for it is "partial 16S ribosomal RNA". It matches the Rfam family "Bacterial small subunit ribosomal RNA", at positions 524 to 776 of the family's 1533-position model. The record is from RNAcentral.